This 254-nucleotide ribosomal RNA is filed under the name uncultured bacterium. RNAcentral's name for it is "partial 16S ribosomal RNA". It matches the Rfam family "Bacterial small subunit ribosomal RNA", at positions 524 to 776 of the family's 1533-position model. The record is from RNAcentral.
UACAGAGGAGCCAAGCGUUGUCCGGAUUGACUGGGCGUAAAGCGCACGCAGGCGGGGGUGCGCGUGGGGUGUGAAAGUCUGGCCGCUUAACGGCCAGGCGCCAUCCCAUACGGCACGCCUGGAGCCUUGCAGAGGUCGGUGGAAUUGCCGGUGUAGUGGUGAAAUGCGUAGAGAUCGGCAGGAACACCCAGGGGGAAACCAGCCGACUGGGCAAGUGCUGACGCUGAGGUGCGAGAGCGUGGGGAGCGAACCGG